Molecule: long non-coding RNA, 1040 nt
Organism: Oenanthe melanoleuca
Lineage: Eukaryota; Metazoa; Chordata; Aves; Passeriformes; Muscicapidae
Exons: 3
Source: RefSeq, a predicted model, not a curated record
GUCCCCAGUGUCUGUCAGUGUCCCCCUGGCAGGGUGGGGAGUCUCAGUGUCCCCAGUCUCAGUGUCCCCAGUCUGUGCCCCCUGAUAGGGUGGGGAGCAUCUGUGUCCCCAGUGUCUGUUGGUGUCCGCCUGGCAUGGUGGGAAGUGUCAGUGUCCCCAGUGUCAGUGUCCCCCUGGCAGGGUGGGGACUGUCAGUGUCCCCCAGUGUCUGUCAUGUCCCCCAGUGUCUGUCAGUGUCCCCAGUGUCACUGCUGGCUGGGUAUGAAUGUCCCCAGCUUCCCCACCAUGGAGGGAGGUGUUUUCUGGCCAGCAAUGAGGUGUUUAGUCAGGCAAGCUGCCUGGAUUCUCCUUGCUGGCUGUUUCUGGCACCUCGUUCCUGCAUGGGUCAGUGCCUCCCUCCCCUUGGCUUUGCUCUGGAGCCUCCUCGGGAUUGCAAGUGGCGUUCUGGGGCCUGCUUGGGGUUGGAGGUGACGUUCUGGGGCCUCCCUGGGGCUGCAGGUGGUGCUCUGGGGCUGCCUCGGGGCCAGGAGUGGCUCUUUGGCGUGGCUGGAGCCCCAGGAGCUCCUGGCUGUUCCCUGUGCAGGGAAUGGAGCAGCUGCCUGCAAUUCUUCAGUGGCUUUUCAGAGUCACCUGGGAGGAGCCCCAGAAGAAAGGUGGCCUUUGUCCCAGCCCAGCCAGGAAAUGCCUCUGAGAAGGGAAGAAUAGGAUGGAGCUGGCAAACUGGAUCAGGCAGGAACUGCAAACAAACAGAGCUGAUAAUCCCCAGGGUGUGUUCGGAGAGUCAACACCGAGAUUCCCAAAGAGCUGCUUGGGAUUGAUGCUUCCCCCAGCCCUGCCCGCUCGUUUCACCUGCAGCAUUUCAUCCUCAGUCAGCCUUGGAAUCUCUGCAAGGAGCUGGUUUGCAGCCUGAGGGAUUAAACCCCAAAUUUGGUUACAUUUCCCAUGGAUUCAGUCCAUGGACUCAUGGAUUUAUUCCUUUAGCCUACAGAUCCAUGGAAAGCCAAGCCCUAUGUGCUGGCAGAAGGGAGGCAGGAAUUGGG